Molecule: transfer RNA, 73 nt
Filed under: Stegodyphus mimosarum
Lineage: Eukaryota; Metazoa; Arthropoda; Arachnida; Araneae; Eresidae
Rfam family: tRNA
About the family: Transfer RNA (tRNA) molecules are approximately 80 nucleotides in length.
Source: Rfam by way of RNAcentral
CUCUUCGUGGUGUAGUGGUCAGCACGCUCGACGCAUAACCGAGAGGUCCGUGGUUCGAUUCCCGACGAAGGCG